UACGUAGGGUGCGAGCGUUAAUCGGAAUUACUGGGCGUAAAGCGUGCGCAGACGGCUUUGCAAGACAGAUGUGAAAUCCCCGGGCUCAACCUGGGAACUGCAUUUGUGACUGCAAGGCUAGAGUACGGCAGAGGGGGAUGGAAUUCCGCGUGUAGCAGUGAAAUGCGUAGAUAUGCGGAGGAACACCAAUGGCGAAGGCAAUCCCCUGGGCCUGUACUGACGCUCAUGCACGAAAGCGUGGGGAGCAAACAGG
RNAcentral lists this ribosomal RNA (253 nucleotides) under uncultured bacterium. Its description in RNAcentral is "partial 16S ribosomal RNA". It matches the Rfam family "Bacterial small subunit ribosomal RNA", at positions 524 to 776 of the family's 1533-position model. The record is from RNAcentral.